RNAcentral lists this transfer RNA (74 nucleotides) under Candidatus Micrarchaeum sp. AZ1. Its description in RNAcentral is "tRNA-Thr". It matches the Rfam family "tRNA". From Rfam's summary of the family: Transfer RNA (tRNA) molecules are approximately 80 nucleotides in length. Their secondary structure includes four short double-helical elements and three loops (D, anti-codon, and T loops). Further hydrogen bonds mediate the characteristic L-shaped molecular structure. tRNAs have two regions of fundamental functional importance: the anti-codon, which is responsible for specific mRNA codon recognition, and the 3' end, to which the tRNAs corresponding amino acid is attached (by aminoacyl-tRNA synthetases). tRNAs cope with the degeneracy of the genetic code in two manners: having more than one tRNA (with a specific anti-codon) for a particular amino acid; and 'wobble' base-pairing, i.e. permitting non-standard base-pairing at the 3rd anti-codon position. The record is from RNAcentral. Lineage: Archaea; Nanobdellati; Microcaldota; Candidatus Micrarchaeia; Candidatus Micrarchaeales; Candidatus Micrarchaeaceae. RNAcentral also lists the same sequence under 3 other names.
GCCUCGGUAGCUCAGACUGGUAGAGCACCUGUCUCGUAAACAGGGGGUCGAGGGUUCAAAUCCCUCUCGAGGCU